GUCGAACGAGAAAGGAGAUUUCGGUCUCCGAGUAAAGUGGCGGACGGGUGCGUAACACGUAAGUAAUUAACCCCAAGUAUCAGGAUAACUUCUCGAAAGGGGAGCUAAAACUGAAUAUAUCCUUGAUGCACAAGUUUCAAGGAAAAAAUAGGCUUCUACUUAAGCCUACGACUUGGGACAAGCUUGCGGCUCAUUAGCUAGUUGGUAGGGUAAUGGCCUACCAAGGCUACGAUGGGUAGCUGGUCUGAGAGGAUGAUCAGCCACACUGGCACUGAGAUACGGGCCAGACUCCUACGGGAGGCAGCAGUGGGGAAUUUUGCGCAGUGGGCGAAAGCCUGACGCAGUAACGCCGCGUGGAGGAUGAAGGCCUUCGGGUUGUAAACUCCUGUCAGAGGGAACGAAAGCUCUUAACAUAACAUGGUUAUUUGCUUGACGGUACCCUCAAAGGAAGCCCCGGCUAAUUCCGUGCCAGCAGCCGCGGUAAUACGGAAGGGGCAAGCGUUGUUCGGAAUCAUUGGGCGUAAAGGGCGCGUAGGCGGUCUUGUGUGUCUGCUGUAAAAGCACACGGCUCAACCGUGUAGGGUCGGUAGAAACUGCGAGACUUGAGGCUGGGAGAGGUUGGUGGAAUUCCCUGUGUAGCGGUGAAAUGCGUA
This 653-nucleotide ribosomal RNA is filed under the name uncultured bacterium. Its description in RNAcentral is "bacterial SSU rRNA". It matches the Rfam family "Bacterial small subunit ribosomal RNA", at positions 61 to 692 of the family's 1533-position model. The record is from RNAcentral.